This 537-nucleotide ribosomal RNA is filed under the name Physalaemus cuvieri (barker frog). Its description in RNAcentral is "partial large subunit ribosomal RNA". It matches the Rfam family "Bacterial large subunit ribosomal RNA", at positions 1931 to 2620 of the family's 2925-position model. The record is from RNAcentral. Lineage: Eukaryota; Metazoa; Chordata; Amphibia; Anura; Leptodactylidae.
CCGCGGUAUCCUAACCGUGCGAAGGUAGCGUAAUCACUUGUUCUUUAAAUGAGGACUAGUAUGAAUGGCAUCACGAAGGUUAUACUGUCUCCCCUUUUUAAUCAGUGAAACUAAUCUUCCCGUGAAGAAGCGGGAAUAAAAUUAUAAGACGAGAAGACCCUAUGGAGCUUUAGACUACGCAACAAUUGCUAUUCACUUUUUACCCUAUGGGGCCCCAACUAUAUUUUCUCAUAUUGAUUGCUAGUCUUGGGUUGGGGUGACCGCGGAGUAAAAUAUAACCUCCACGAUGAAAGAAACUUAAUUUCUUAACCCAGAGUUACAACUCUAAGUACCAAAAAUUUGACAUUAAUUGACCCAAUUUAUUGAUCAACGAACCAAGUUACCCUAGGGAUAACAGCGCAAUCUACUUCAAGAGUCCCUAUCGACAAGUAGGUUUACGACCUCGAUGUUGGAUCAGGGUAUCCUAGUGGUGCAGCCGCUACUAAAGGUUCGUUUGUUCAACGAUUAAAACCCUACGUGAUCUGAGUUCAGACCGGA